This 9030-nucleotide long non-coding RNA is filed under the name Malus domestica (apple). RNAcentral describes it as "long non-coding RNA (MDOM_LNC013949)". The record is from RNAcentral. Lineage: Eukaryota; Viridiplantae; Streptophyta; Magnoliopsida; Rosales; Rosaceae.
GGCCAAAGCCCCCCCCAUUCAUCGUGGGCGUGUGAGGCUUUUGGCCUUAACCUAAGGUGCUAGUUGUUUUGUAGGUGCAAAAUCGUCCAAGAUCGAGGAGGAGAAAAUUUGCAUCCACAAAUUGGUGCUUUCAUUGAGAGUUGAAAUCCAUACUCGUAGAAGACUCUCGCACAAAAAAGUUUUUUCUUUAUUUUCUAGUCCAUUUGAAUAUUUUUCAUACGUUCUUGUUAUUAGAAUUUUUUACUUGCAAAGUUUCUUUGAUAAAACGUAUAAGAAAAAUAUAAUGGCUAGAAAUUUAGAAAAUUCCACAAGUGAAAAUUCUAAUAUUCAAGAAAUGGGAUUGCGGAGAUCCGUGAGGCUAAAUGCGACAAUAAGUGGAGCGGCACCACCACCACGAGUUUCCACCACGGGAACCACCGCAGUGGCUACCUCGGUAGUCACCCGUGGCGAGGUCCAUGGUGCUUUCACCACGACCCGAGCCGUGCCAUCCAAGGCUCACGGCACCAAGGCCACGACCCAAGCCAUGUCACUCCAAGCCCAACGUGAAUUUAACACGUUGCCAAGCCAAGCCCAAACCUCGCACCCAUGUGCAUCAUACUCCGAGCAGCCUGCUCCAAUCGAGCAGCCCACUCUCGUGGCCCAACCUGCUCCCACCAAGCAGCCUGCUCUCGUGGCCCAGCCUGCUCUCGACGAGCAGCCUACUCCCGUGGUCCAGCCUGUUCCAGCCGAGCAGCCCACUCCCGUGGCCCAGCCUGCUCCUGCUGAGCAGCCUACUCUCGCAGCCCAGCUUGCUCUCGAGGCCCAGCCUGCUCAUGCGGCCCAGUCUGCUCCCAUGGCUUUCCAAGCAGCCUAAGUCGGCCCAAGACUAUCUCAACCAUCCAGACCUACCAUCGAGCCGGGGGCAUUCUCACCAUAUUUUUUCACGAAUUUAACAUUUCCCAACUCAAAUCUCGUGCCCGGAGUCUACCACUCUUCCAUUGCCCAAGAAGGCACAUUCCUUCCAAGCUCUUCCAACCCAAAUGGAGAACAACACUUGUCUCGACAAGUCAUAAAGUUGACAAGCGUCCUCGCACAGCAGACGACCUUGGUGAAUCGACUCUUGCAACGCACCGAGAUGCAACGUGCCCCAGACGAGGUGUCCCGAAGUAGGACAAGGGCAGACAAAUAACCUCUCCAGCAGCGUCUUGGUAAGCAGCCACUCGACCAGCCACGAACCGAGCGUUCAGGCAGUAUGCACUCCCGAUUGGGCCCCCGAGAUAGCGUAUACUCCCGUCUUAGAGCGUGGAGGAGCGUGCACUCUCGACUAGACCCACAGACAAGCAUACAUUCAUGGUUAGGGUCACACUCUGAUAGUCAACAUGAGCAGCCUUCCAGGCGAAGUGUUCGUUUGCGGUUAAGCCCUCAAGGAGCAUCAUCCACCUCACAUUGGAGUAGGCAGCCCGACGGAUGGAGAGAAACACUCAAUACGGCUUAAGUGCAACCAGUAGCCUGCGAAGAACUCGCUCGCCUGCUAGGAACGCGCUACAUGCACUGCAUCCGGGGCAUAGACAAGCCAAACACAUGGAAGAGCAGCCUAGACCAGCAAGUCACGGUUGGGGGCAGCCGAGAGCUCCGCUACCUCAACAAAAACAAAUUCAGGAAGAAGUAGAGACUCUUGACCAAGCAAUUGCGCAAUUUCCAACGCAAUGAGGUCAUUAACGAGGCACUACGACGGAACAUGACCAACAUAAGCAGGUCACCCUUCACGGACAAGAUCGAGCAGGCAAAGCCUCCACGCGAGUUUAGCAUGCCACAUUUCACAUCUUUCAAAGGGGAUGAAGACCCGGAGAGACACUUAAAGCACUACCGAAGCACAAUGAUCCUCUAUCGAAACAACGACGGUCUCAUGUGCAAGAUAUUUGCCACCACUCUACAAGGCAAGGCGCAAGAUUGGUUGUACACCCUACCGCCACAAUCUAUCCGGAAUUUUGACGAACUUUCUUUGGUUUUCACCAAAGAAUAUUCAUCCUAUCGCUCGAUCAAAAAGAAGUCCGACCAUUUGUUCGACGUCAAGAAAAACCCAAAUGAGUCGUUUCGAGACUAUGUGAGGAGGUUCAAAACAGAAAAGGCAAAAAUAGUCGGAUGUAACGACUCGAUAGCUAGAGCAGCCUUCCAAAAAGGACUUCCAGCGGACCACCCACUAUUCGGAAAACUGAUAAUGAAAGAAUAUCUAACUCUGGCAGACUCUUUCGCUCUGGCAAAGAAGCAUGCACUUUGGGACGAAGUUCGACGAUCUUGAAUAUGAAGUUCCCCACUACUCUAAAGGAGAUUCAAAAUCUGACUGGACGAGUAGUCACAUCUGAAGCAGAAAUAAGCUCUACCAUCAUACGAGAAGAGCUGGGGGGCCGACUACCUAUAUUCCACAAUUUAAAAGCUCUCCUCGAUGCUAUUAGUUGUAUUCCAUAGUUUAAAAGCUCUUAUUGAUGUAUCAGAAAUUCAAAAGCUAACUUUGGCAAUAGUUGUUAUAACCUAAAAGCUCAAGUUUUACCUUCAAACGCACGCAGUCAUCAUCAUGAUGCACCAUUCUGCUGAAUCCAGACGUGCGACGAUAAAUGAGUAGACCUUAGUGGAUGCAAAGCUUUCUGACGAACACAACAACUCAGCUUAAAAGACACGCCAAGGGCAGAAGAACAUUGGAAGGAACACUUAGAAGCAAGUUUUUGUCCUCGUCGUCCCAGAAGAUUCUACAUAAGAGCAAUAUGUACCGGCAGUUGAGCACUACCUUCUGCCGUGCGUCACACGGCCCUAGCCGACCCUUACUCCAUUAUUCAGCUCUAGAGAGGCCCAAUAUCGAAAAUUAAGCAUCUCCUGCUACAUGUAACAUGGCCCUAGCUCCACGGCUCCCUGCCGAGCCUUCACGCCUAGCCUUGACAACGCAACAGAGCAGCCUGAUGACGCCCCGAAGGCAGUCGAGCACACUUUAGCCGCACCUACUCCUUCAAUGGAGAUUUCUGGCAUUUGCAUGUCAACGGCGCAUCCAACUACAAAGGCUCGUGAGCAGCCGUGGUUCUUAUCACCCCAAAUGGUUCAAUGCUCAAACAGGCGAUCACUCUAAGUUUCAAAGCAUCUAACAACGAAGCAGAAUACGAAGCUCCACUAGCAGGCCUUCGAAUGAAAAAAGACUUGGCGGUGAAAAAGCUUUCAAUUCAUUCUGAUUCCCAACUAAUCACCAGCCAGACUACUAGGGGCAAAGGCAUGAUGAUCGUGGCAACUGACUACUUCACCAAAUAGGUAGAAGUAGAGCCCAUGACGACCACGAUUCAGACGGACAUAGAGCGCUUGAUAUGGAGGAACAUCAUUUACUGAUUUGGCAUCCCUUAAUCCAUCGUCACCAACGACGGCCCGCAAUUCAUGGGCAAAGAUUUGGUGAAGUUCUUCUAAAAAUAUGGCAUAAAGCAGCAUAUGUCCACGCCGAGAUAUCCUCAAGGCAAUAAGCGGGCCGAAACAUCCAAAAAGAUGAUCCUCAACUGCCUCAAGAAAUCCUUCACCAACAAGAAGGGAAAAUGGCCAGACAAACUCCCCGGAUGUCUAUGGGCAUAUCGCACCACCAAAAGACGAGCAACCGGUGAGACUCAUUUCAAUGUCAUCAAGCCAAGUAUCACCGCUCUACUACCAAGCACUGAGCAGAACAGUGAGAAGAUAGCCACAAGAUCUGGCAGAGGAGAAACGCGAGCAUACAAAUACCCGCAUUGCAACCUACCAGCAGCAGCUCUUCUCCAGCUACAACAAAAGAGCUAAGAUUCGGCAGUUCUAGCCCGGAGAUCUAGUCCUAAGAAAAGCCUUCAUCACUGCCCGCGGAGAGGACUCCAAAAAGAUGGAUCCCAUCUGGGAAGGCCGGUACAAGAUCAAUAGAGUAGGCGGCAAGAGUAAUUACACCUUCGCCACCAUGAAACGACAAAAAGUUCGAAAAGCAGUGGAACGCCUACAAUCUGAGGAAGUACCAUGUGUGACCUCCCGCUACAUCAAAGCCUGAAGACUCAAACAGCUCGACGGGCACCACCUCACAAGCUGAGGACUAUCCAGUUGUUAUGCAGUUCCUACCUUACAGUUAAGUUCUCGUUCGUUUCACUCAUUUUUCAAUGAGAAAUUCAGAAGUAAUCACAACUUGGCUCGGCUGCAUGCUUACAACAACUGAUCAUUCCUGCACUUCAAAAGAAGACUGCGCCCUUCUUAGGGACUCAUCGCAGGAAUUGCGCCCCCCGAGGGACCAACCAUGCUCUCCAGUGCGAGAGGGUAAACCAAUUCCCCAACACCCAUAUGGGUCAGCUCUCUAAGACAGGAGGAUAAACUUUACAUUCCGAAUAUCCAGACGUGGAUGAGCCUGGCUGCCCUAGUAUAACUAGAUGCACGAUGGCUUGCGCCGGGAUUCCUAGAAGUAGCCACAAUGGUCUUUUUCAAGGCUUAGCUAACUGAAGGAUUUUGGGUCUCUUGGCCUAAUCCGUGGGGAACCGGGCCCUAGAGACGGAGGGGGCACAUUACGCAGUACACCCUAUAGACGGCUGCCCUAGAACCCUAAAGCUGCUACCGAGUGCACUAAGGUAUCCUACGGAUUCCGGAAGACUGCCUACGGCUUGCCCUUCGAGCAGUAAAGCCGCGCUAGACUUAUACAACUGCACAUUUUUAUGAAAAGGUUAAACAAGCUAGCGCGCAUAUAUGAAGUUUUAUCCACUGCCGACAUGCUACGUAGUCGAUAAGCUUCACCUCUGCCAAGCGCGAAACAACCUACACCAAGUCCUAAAGUGUUAUGAUACUUGCUACACAACCUACAGAAUUGAAGAAAGUCAAGGUUAACAGCCUGGUGGUUACGCAGACUUGUCUACUUCUGUAAGUAAGGCAUCCGGCUGCCAACCCUAUGGCUAACAACUUUGUAAAGUUCUACACCAACACCUACGGCUGUAUAGGCUACGCGAGCUUGUCUGCUUAUAAAAAGUAGCAUGCCUGCCACUGGUCUAUCAAGUCUAAAGGUUAGGGCAUGAGCAAAAUAAGCGAAGAUGAAGAAAAACGAAGGAAAACAUAUUUAUAAACAAAUAGCAAAGGCCGAAGGAGUUCAAGCAAAACAAGAGCUACAAGGAAAAACAAAGAAAAUCCUAAAGGCUACCUAGAAUACUACCCUACAGCAGCUUGGACAUCCCACGACUACUUAGUCGCCACACCUUCAACAGCCGUAACGCUCUUAGCAGCGGCAUCAUCCGGCGCUUCACCCCCGGCUGCCCCAGCUUGGGCACUAACUUUUCCAACUACUUCACCAAUAGAAGCCUUAAAAGUAAAAGCAAACAAGUCUUCCGGAGAAAUAGAGAAGCUCAUCUACUCCCUUCUCAGCAUAAGCAGCAUUCAACUUUUCAUCCUUUGCAUAAGCAGCAAAACGAAGCUCAGAAACUACAAACUCAAGAUCUUAAAUCUGAGGUAUUGUAACAUUCAAUCUCCUUCUCUGUACUUUCAUACUUAACUUGGAUCGCAUCAAGCCUAGUCUUCAAGUCAACAAUCUCGUGGCGAGCGGUCUCAAGCUGCAGAGAAGCAGGGGCAUAAAUAUUAGACCACUUCAAAGCAACAAGCUUAGAAUCCAACCUCUUAAUCUCCUCGACUGAGGAAUAAGCUUCAGCUGCCAUAAUCUUCGCCACCUCUUUGACGACCUUGCUAUAUAUGCAUCAUAGCAAGCAAAGCAGUUCUAUAUUAGGUCGUAUGUUUCGUAAAGGAACUUGGGCAAACAACCUUUUUACCGCUAUCAACAAACUUGGCACAAACGUUCAUGACUUCAAGCAGAUCUAGUUUCAAAAGCACAUAGAUCGCAACAGCAUCCCCAGAAGCAGGCUUAGUGGAUUUCUCAUAGCUGCCCACGCUAGCAAUAUCUUCUUUCCUAGCAGGCGAAACAAUCUCAGCAGCAAAUAGAGUAGGCUUUGGCACCACUUUAGCAGCAGAGUCCACUUUACCACUCUUCAUAAUAGCAAGUUUCUACAAAGGUGAACCAGACAUGGCUCCCAACGAACGUCCUGGUACAGACUUCGGCACUGGGGGCAUGAUAAAACCUUUAUGCUGAGUAAUUUUAUCAACAAUUGUACUAGCCAUUCUCAACAUGGAAGACGCCACAUGCUCAGAUCUAGCAACCUUAUUUUUCUUCCCAUUGGAAGAAGUCAUGUUAAUCACAUACCUCUCGGUAGCAGGCGGACCCUCAUGAGCAGCAGAAGAAGUCUUCAAUUUUUUCUUAACUGGCAUCUCAUGAACAAGCGGGGAAGAUCUCUUCUUUCCAUCUUCAUUCAUAGUAAGCUUCAUGACAGCGAUCAGACGAGCCAAUGCAUCCGCCUUGAUCCUCUUUACCUCCUCUUUCGAAAACAGCCCACAUUUCUCUCAGCAAAAAGGACUAAGCAGCCAACGACAUUCAUGGUACUCAGCAGGGGAGCUCAACCCAGCAUUCCAGCAGGCAGGAGGCCUGCAUGCCCAACAUUUCAGUAGCCCAUGAGACCCACAAUCUCCUCAUUUCUCUCAAUCGCCAGCCUGGCCCGAGUCAGGUCCAAAAUCCCAAAUGACAUGAGCUAUGCGGCUCGCCUAGCACUGCGCCCCAGCGCCACAAUCCGUGACCCUAUCCGCACAAACUGCCCUUAGCUCAAGCCAAGCCAAGUUGUCCAAGCAGUGGUCCCUGCCACGACAUCUCCUCGGCCUAUGCCGAGCCAACUCCUGGCCCUUGCCAGCCUACAUGCCGCACCACCCCGACGAUUGCCUCACAAUAGCACUAUCCGAGAAGAAGGCAAGAAAAAUUAAAUUUUUCUUACAUCGGUGCGGCACGGAGAAGACGAAGAAAUCAACGAAAGACGGUCCUUUGCACGGGCAAGAUGUAGAAGAUUGCUAAAGGAGGGGAAACAAAUAUCCUCUAACUUUCUCUCUCUUGUGGGGUAGACUAAAUUGCUCUCCAAAGUUGAUUUAAUAACCCACUUAAGGUAGACUUAAAUAGGCUUUGAGAGAAGUUUAUUUUCCCUUCCUAGAAGGAUCUAAUUUCCAAUUAAAGAGAGAAUCUACAUCAAAAUAGGAAGCAGUCCUAAGUUUCCUAAAGCAAGAAGAUCUCUACACCUGCUGCCCUUUUCUGCGAGCAGUUCAACAGGUGUGGGGGCAUUUGUGGAGCCAAAAAUAUUCACAAGGCGACACGUGGAUUUUUGGACAAAAAGGACAAAAAUACCCUUGCAGUACAACGGGGUUCCUACGCGCAAGCAGCGGGCAACCCUCUUUCAACCAAGACAGAAGUGCCCAAAAUAGGUAACAAUUCAAAGUCCAUCUCAUCAAAUCCUUUCUACAAGGUAAUUCCCAAACACAUUCCUUUUAAAAUUAUGUUAAUAGGCUAAUUGAUGGGUUUAUUGCCUAAUUAACCCAUUAAUUGUCAAUUAAACCAUCCAUUAUAUCCAAAUAACCACAAAAUACAUCCAAUUCAACCCUAAAAACACUACAUGGCCGGCCAUCCCCUUAGCUUUCUACCUUCCCUAUCUUUUCCCACUUUAUUACCCAAAUAAAGCUAAUCAUUCAAUUUGAUAACCCCCCAUUUAUUUCUAUCAUAUUUUAUUAGCCAAUAAAGUGGCUAAUUAAACCACAAAUUCACCAAAAAAUGGACAAAGUGGCCGGCCACUUCCUUUGAAAAGUGGACCAACCUAGUCCUAUAAAUAGGGACCCAUUUUCACCAAACACUCAUUCCAAACCUCUUGCAAAAAAAUCCCAAAUACUCUAAACACUAUUUUUCUCUAAAAUUCUAACUUUGGCAUCGAAGGUUCUUCGGCCAAAGCCCCCCCCCCAUUCAUCGUGGGGCGCGUGAGGCUUUUGGCCUUAACCUAAGGUGCUAGUUGUUUUGUAGGUGCAAAAUCGUCCAAGAUCGAGAGGAGAAAAUUUGCAUCCACAAUAUUGAUGAACUAAAACAUGAAUAGAUCAAUCAUUUGGAGCUGGCAGUGACUUUAAUUUCUGUUAAGUGGCAUUCAGCUGUGUCUUGUGGGGUUUGCACGACUGCAGUAUAGUGACUUCAUCAUGUCGGAUGACGCGUGCGUAUGCAUUUAAGGAGUGAGAUAUUCUCGGGUUCUAGUCUUCUGCAUGCAGACGUAUGCUUCAAAGGGAAUUUUGCUUGAAGCCUUGAACAUGCUGGAACGAAGUAAAACAGUCGUCUGAACCCUGGUUUGGGCUUUGAAUUUAGUAGGCCAAAAUCGUACGAAUUUUGCGUAAAUAAAAUUGAAUAUAUGCCCUAAACGGUGACAUUCGCGUUGGAAGUUUCUCCUCUUUGUACAAAUAUUCUUUACUUUAUUGCACUCAUAAAUACGCUCUCACAUAGCAUGUGUAAUAAGGUUUCAUUCCCUCCAUUGCACACUCUUACUAUUAGUUUAAAUUAAUUCUAGACUUUUAGGUUUUAAUUUAUUCACAUUUUUUCCACAUCAUCAUCAUUUUAUGGCUUCGUCUUCUUCUAGGUAUCAGCUAACACGCCUUGAUUUAGAUGUCUAGGUGAACAUUCCGGAUCGGGUUGUGUCAGUUUAGUAUCAGAGUAUAUGUUUAGGCAAUCCUGCAUUCAUCAAUCAUGUGAUGUAAGCAAUUUCGACUCUCGAUCUUUAGUGUUAGAAUUAUACCACCUCGUUGAACUCGUACCACACCAACAUUUGCUGAUUUUGGGCAAUUCUGAGUGACUAACGCUAACGUUAUCCAAACGGUUUUCUAGCUUCUCGAAAGAUUGCCUCCAGUUUUUAAGUGAAGAACUUUUACAGCACAGGAAGACCUAAAGCAUCCAAAGCUUGGUUUGGACAUGUUAAGAAGAUAUUCCACGACAUCAGAGCCGGUUUUGGGGGAGUGUGACCGGUUCUAUGGCAUAGGGCCCCCAAAUUUUGGGGCCCCCAAAAAUAUUUUUUAUUGAAUAUAAUAAUAUUAUAUAAAAAUAAUAUAUAUAAAUACUAAUCAAAUCAAAAUAUAUACAUAUAAAAAUCCAAUAGGCCAAGACUACUACCUAAAAGCCAUGUCAGACUAUUACCUAAAGCUAAAAGC